This 1735-nucleotide long non-coding RNA is filed under the name Gallus gallus (chicken). RNAcentral's name for it is "long non-coding RNA NONGGAT008082". Lineage: Eukaryota; Metazoa; Chordata; Aves; Galliformes; Phasianidae. The record is from RNAcentral.
GACGGAAAAGGUGUAGGACUGAUUCUUCAGGGACUUCCAGAUGCAAAAAUUGCAAUGAUAACCAGAUGGAUGCAAAUAAAUACAGAGGCACUCAGAAUUCCUGACAUCAACUGAAUCUAAACUGACAGAACAGAUUUCCUUCUCAUUUGUUUUUGCUUGAAACAGUGGUGCUUACUAGCACUUUUGGGAAAGCACUCAGUAAAUACAGAAGGCUGAAAAAGUAUUGUCUACUUUGGCUUUAAUUACAACAAAUGCAUAAGUAAAUAAAUAAAUUCAUUAAGAAGUCUGGUCCUGUAGAUAGUUUCUACUAAGAAAAGCAGGGUUACAAUCUGAAAGAAAGAACAACCUUUCCCAGCAUAUAUAGUAAAAUAAAACAUCCAUUCUUCCAUUCAUCUUUUCUUAGCAAUAAUGUACCGUUACUCAUGGCUUGCAUUUACCUAUCAAAAGCGUAAAUGGAUUAAGCCCACAAAUGCUUCCCAGAACUCCAAACUAAAUAGAAGGCUCAGGAAACAUCGGGAGGCAGCCCCAACUUCCACCAACACCGAUCAGUUCAGGAAUUUUCUGUCAAACAGCGUACAACUCGCUCAGCAAUAAAUCCACUUGCCCUUAUUUCCAAUAUCCUACCCUGUUUUACUUCCCAGGAAAACAACGACAACAACAACGAUACAUCCCCAACCCACAGAGCAAGGACAUGCACAAUGCUGGGUUUUAUCCCUCUGUUAAAACAAAUAAAACUAAAAAUCAGAACCGAAGAAAAUGCUUGCAGAGUUCUCUGUCAGUUCUGUAGCCAUUUACAGACCACCACCACCAAGGGCACCUCGUUGAGAAGACUGAAACAUCCCCGCCUUGUAAUUGUAUCACAGUUGUGAAAAUCAAAUUCAUUUCCAAACAUUUCCCUAAGAUGUUCAAAGCCUGGACCGCCAAAGCAAAAUGCACCAAGACCCCAGCAUUUCAUCUAGCUGUCUAAAAUAUUAAACUUUUCAUAUAUGCGGGAUUGGAAUGCGUCCUUCUCCAAGUGCACUUCAGAGCGCUCGCCCCACAUCAGCAACGGUAGUUCCGGCAUACUGCAAUUUCCCAAUCCCCACGGGAAUGCCUGCAAGGAUUCCAUCUGAAGGUUUAGGCGACAUCCAAAGUUAGUGGGCGCUUCAGCAGCUGAAAUAGAAAUGCUGUUCAGCUCCCCGGCCAUAUUUUCCAGACCGUGCCUCUAAUAAGAACAGUACACUUGCAUGCGUUCCUGAACUACAAUGGGACAGGACAGUGAUUAAAGUAGUGAAGCAUAGCGCAGUAUCUCUCUGGUAACAUACAUUGUGUAUGGAAUGGAGCGUAAAGGGAAAUGAGAUGAACUUUGUACAGCUCACCUUAAUUAAGUCGUGUCCCGAUGGAAAUUAAUUUGAAUGUUAAAAGCAUGUAUAUACAUUGUCUGAGCUUUCUCUCAGUGCCCACUUCAAGCCACAUGCACUGUCCCGGGUCUGUCAGUUCCGGGUGUUCACAUACAUUCUCCUAUUCAUCCAGCUGGCCGUCACUUUGUAUCUUGCAAGUGGUUAACAGCAAAUUCUAUGGACAGUAAGAGUUACAUCUUAGCACCUUUCCAAACAUCUGCCAGCCAGCACACCACGCUUCAGCCCGACCACAGGCUUCUGAAUUUCACACUGUUUCAGGAGGUUUUAUUAAAUUAAGACUGUGGAGCACCAUGUUUUUGCCGGCCCCUAGUUUUACUUUGGUUUGUAGUCCCCCU